This 356-nucleotide transfer-messenger RNA is filed under the name Candidatus Adiutrix intracellularis. Its description in RNAcentral is "Adiutrix intracellularis Standard tmRNA". It matches the Rfam family "transfer-messenger RNA". Rfam says of the family: Bacterial tmRNA, also known as 10Sa RNA or SsrA, is named for its dual tRNA and mRNA-like properties. Its role is to liberate the mRNA from a stalled ribosome. To accomplish this part of the tmRNA is used as a reading frame that ends in a translation stop signal. Lineage: Bacteria; Pseudomonadati; Thermodesulfobacteriota; Desulfarculia; Candidatus Adiutricales; Candidatus Adiutricaceae. The record is from RNAcentral.
GGGGGCGAUAUGGUUUCGACGGGGAUAAUUGAACUCGCAGCGGCAGGCCGAGCGACCCGGUGACUCGUUAAUCCAUUUGGGAUUUAAAUACAAAAGCAGACUCUUACGAGUACGCACUGGCCGCUUAGGCCAGCAUUCUACAGUCGACCUGGCCCGGGGCGAUUGCGGGGUGUGGUUAAAUGGGCUGGUUUCAUUUGGUUGUGGAAGGACAAAUGGAAUAAGAAAAUCUUUUCGCUGGCCUUCGGGAGAGCCUGUCCAUUGGCGCUAUCGGGGUGAGAUUUAAAUAAUGGCCUAAGCCUGUAGAUACUUCGGGGGAAAAUCUUCGGACGCGGGUUCAAUUCCCGCCGCCUCCACCA